Molecule: ribosomal RNA, 459 nt
Filed under: uncultured bacterium
Lineage: Bacteria
Description: partial 16S ribosomal RNA
Rfam family: Bacterial small subunit ribosomal RNA
Source: RNAcentral
CCUACGGGAGGCAGCAGUGAGGAAUAUUGGUCAAUGGGCGGGAGCCUGAACCAGCCAAGCCGCGUGAAGGAAGAAGGUGCUUAGCAUUGUAAACUUCUUUUGUCAGGGAACAAAAUCAGACUCGCGCGCCCGGAUGAGGGUACUCGAAGAAAAAGCAUCGGCUAACUCCGUGCCAGCAGCCGCGGUAAUACGGAGGAUGCGAGCGUUAUCCGGAUUUAUUGGGUUUAAAGGGUGCGCAGGCGGAAGGUAAAGUCAGCGGUAAAAGGUCGGGGCUCAACCCCGGCCAGCCGUUGAAACUGGUUGUCUUGAGAUGGCGAGAGGUAUGCGGAAUUCGUGGUGUAGCGGUGAAAUGCUUAGAUAUUGCGCAGAACUCCGAUUGCGAAGGCAGCAUACCGGCUGCAAACUGACGCUGAGGCACGAAAGCGUGGGGAUCGAACAGGAUUAGAUACCCGAGUAGUC